UCCGUGCCAUUUUGCCAACAAUGGACCCCAAGUCAAGGAUAACCCCAACAUGGAGUUCCUGUGCUUCUUCUCUAGAAGUGUUUUGGGCGAUAGCAAGGUUGAUUGUCAGCAAGAGGAGCAGGAUGACAUUUUGCAGCUCCAUCUGCUGAGCCGUGAGGUGAGAGGCUUCCACUGCACGUCUUUUCUAUUGGCUCCUGUGAUGGUUGACUUGGAUGUAUUAGUGAAAUGCUCUAUGUGUGAUGAUUGACAGACUUUGAAAUGGUCUUUGAAGUUAUGAUUGGCUCAGUGUGAUAUUCUUUACCCCAACAGAGGAAAGGAGCCAAGGAGUGCUGAGGUCAGAUGGUUUCUCCCCUGCAUACAGAUAACUGGACCCUUGUCCAUAACAUGGAAGUGAAUUAUUGCCC
Triticum aestivum (bread wheat) is the source of this 404-nucleotide long non-coding RNA. RefSeq lists it as uncharacterized. The transcript has 3 exons. NCBI's taxonomy places the organism in Eukaryota, Viridiplantae, Streptophyta, Magnoliopsida, Poales, Poaceae. The record is from RefSeq and is a predicted model, not a curated record.